GAUAACGUUCGCGCAAUUUUUUGAAACUACAAACACAAAUACUGUGAUAACGUUUGCUAAGUACAAACGAAAUUAUAUUUAUGCGAGGGAACGGUUGCGUCAUGUUGACAUUACUUGUCGUACAGGUGCUUAUGUGGCAAAUGUGAGAAGAUGGCUACAGAACCAGAAAAUAUAUGCUGCAGGGAGAUAGAACAGGUUACAAGACGGAUGAAACAACUUCAAGUCACUCCAUCAUGUAUGGUAGACCAUCCCGGAAAACAUACACAGUUUUUAAUACAAUAUCUUU
Megalobrama amblycephala (Wuchang bream) is the source of this 286-nucleotide long non-coding RNA. RefSeq lists it as uncharacterized. The record is from RefSeq and is a predicted model, not a curated record. The transcript is spliced from 2 exons. Lineage: Eukaryota; Metazoa; Chordata; Actinopteri; Cypriniformes; Xenocyprididae.